UUACAUUUACAAUUUUACAUUUUAGACUUUUAGUUACCUACAGUACUUACCUUUCCCAUUUCCCCCACCCGUUCAAACUUCAGAAUUCCUAACCCCUUCCCUUCCCUCUUCCUUUUUUUUCCCCCAAAUCGAAAACCCCACCUCCACCUCCACCGAUCCACCAUCCCACCUCCGGUGUACGGUCCUCGACAACUCCACCUCCAGGCUCCAGUUCCACGACGCUAGCGUUGUUGUUCUCUACUUAUCUUCACUUUGAUUCUUCUGCAACUUCCGAAGGUAUUCUUUUUUAUGCUUUAUGUUUUAUGCUGUCCAAAGAUUUGUUUUU
This 325-nucleotide long non-coding RNA is filed under the name Gossypium raimondii (Peruvian cotton). Its description in RNAcentral is "long non-coding RNA (GRAI_LNC008194)". The record is from RNAcentral. Lineage: Eukaryota; Viridiplantae; Streptophyta; Magnoliopsida; Malvales; Malvaceae.